AUAGGAAUUUGUCAAUGAUGCAGAAUUCUCGUUAGAUCUCAUUGAUAUCCUACAAGGCCAGAAAGGGCCACACUUUCGGUUAUAGCUCUAUGAAUAUCCUUUUACAGCACAGGCUUAGUGCUGGAUCAAUAAAACUCUUAAAAACCCCUGGGAUACACUUUGUAUCCAUCUUGAACAUCAAUAUUAACCUCACCACCAGCUGGAUCUGAGGACCUGAUGUGAUCUGACAUUAGAACAUUUGAAUCACAUGAAUUUCACGUAUUAUAUGUGAGUUGUAGAUACGUAUCACAAUCUUAAGAUAUUCAUGGGAAUCACACAACGCAUGGAUACAAUAAUAAGCUACUUAUUGCGGUACUUUGUUGAAUCAUAUAGUAGGAUGCGUAUAAUGUGUUAGAUGCAGACUACUGCAGUGAGAAGGGAGAACUACUGUGGAGCAGCGUGCUGUGCAGAUCGAACGAAACCUGGAAUGGAAGUCUAUGGAUAAAGGGUUGAAGCGCAGGAUGAAAAAGAAAGUGUAGUAACGAGGAAUAUUUCUUAGAGUAUGAAGGGCUGGAGAGGAUUGGAACAAGAAGAGUUCCUUUUGACUUGCUCUUAGGAUAAUCUGCACUGGAAAACAUACUGCUACUUGAUUAACUGUUUUGCCAAGUCAUAGUGGUUUUACCGUUCUCCAAGAUGAUGGAAAUCUUGCAAAGUUUGCUGGUCAACCCUCCAUGUUUUCAAAAAGUCCGAGAACAUUGAUCGGUCAAUCAAUUUUAUAUUCAUUUGAUGUGAAAGAAAAGGCAAGAGUCCAAAAAAUCUUCUAAAUGGAAUCGCUCCAUAAUUCCGUUCUCCAUAUUGAUGGUUGUUCUACCAUGUUCUGUUUUUGUCUUGAGAAAGAGGGGAAAAAUUAAUCUGGUUAUUUUCUAUGAAUGACCAUCGUUAUAUCUUUUUUACAUUCAGGCAAUCCUUUGAAACCUGGGCACACUAAGAGAGAUAGAAUUAGGAAUGGAGAUAUCCAGGACAAGGUAGGAGUGGCCUCGGUUGAGGACAAGAUGCAGAAAGCGUGGCUGAGAUGAUUUGGACAUGUGAAGAGGAGAGACACAGAUGCCUCAGUGGGAAUGGACGGUUUCAAGAGAUGUAGAGGUAGUCCGAAGAAGUAUUGGCGAGAGGUGUGUUCCAUCUUAAUGAGGACAUGACCUUAGAUAGGAUGUUAUGGAGGACUCAGAUUAGGGUAGAAGGCUAGUAGUUCUUAUGCAUAGAGGGUACUGUCGUACUGCUGCUUCUCCUCUUCUGCCAACCAUUCAGGAGUUACGUGCUACAAUCUGAGUGCUGCCUCCACAAGAUUGCUACAUAUCAACACUGAAAAAUACUGUUCGGUCACGUGCCUGGGGGGCUGCAAUUGGUUACAGCUACCAAGUUGAGCGGUGCCAUGUUGUGGAGGUAUGAGCUUUUUUUAAUGGAGAAAAAUUGGUAAAGGCUACUUCAGCAUCACAGACGCCUGAGAUGGAUGGUGACAAACCUCAUGUGGCAAAUGGGGGAAAAAAUGUGGUGGAUAGUGAAAGUAUCAUCGUUGACGUGUUUAAGUGGUCCUGCUGUAAAAGGCCUUUACCCCAGGAGCUAAUGCUAUCAAUUGGGAUUCCUUUGCCCCUUCAACAUGUCGAGGUUCUGCAGGACAAUCUGGAAUGGGAGGACAUCCAAUGGUCGAAAACUGGUGUCUGGAUUGCUGGAAAAGAAUAUGUUCUUGCUAGGGCACAUUUUCUUUCCCCAAAUUAGUUUGUUAGAAAUGUGCUAACUUGAUAAUAAACAUCAGUCAAGUAACGCACUGCUGAAUGGAAACUGAUUAUAGGCAAACAACAUUAAUCUGUUUCCAAGUUUCACUUUCUUGUUGUGGUGUGUAUUUUACAUGUUAAGUGUCUACCUAUGAGGAAGUAAUGCAGAAUUAGUGGAAAAAGAAUGAGAAACAACAGUUGUUACUCUUCUUAGCCACUUAAGAAUCUA
RNA transcript from Lycium barbarum (goji berry), 1977 nucleotides. RefSeq lists it as uncharacterized. Lineage: Eukaryota; Viridiplantae; Streptophyta; Magnoliopsida; Solanales; Solanaceae. The record is from RefSeq and is a predicted model, not a curated record. The transcript is spliced from 5 exons.